AAUGGUGGAAUCCAGAUUCUGUGAAUGUACAUGUAAUUGAUUGACAAGUACACAUUUGACAAGGUGGUGAGAAACGUGUAGAUCUGGCCUGCUUACAGUGGCUAUUGGAUUGGACAGAACCAAAGUGAGAGUGAACGUGUGAAUUUAUGGAGAACAUUAAACUAUUUUACUAUAAGUCAUAACGCAACUUAUUUUGUAUGAGUUACAUACAAAUGUCAAGCCGUGAGUACAUUAUGUAAAAACUAAAACAAUGUACUGUAAUCACAAUAGUAACUGUAAUCUUUUAAAAUCCAAUAGUUUUAAAGCUUAUUGAUUUUCGUAAACAAGAUAUUUCAUGUUAUAUUUCAUCAAUAAAGUUUCGUUUGAUA
Molecule: long non-coding RNA, 368 nt
Organism: Ostrinia nubilalis (European corn borer)
Lineage: Eukaryota; Metazoa; Arthropoda; Insecta; Lepidoptera; Crambidae
Exons: 2
Source: RefSeq, a predicted model, not a curated record